AAAAUAAAAAAAAAAAAAAAACUUAAAACAAUUAUUUCCGAAAUCUUCGUUAUAUAAUCUUUGCAACAAUAAUAAUGAUGUAAACGGGACUUUGUUUUUAUUUUCAACAGGAAAGAUAACUUCUUUUUUAGUGACAGUAACGAAAACUCUGUCCCCUUCUCCACAAUAAUUAUAAGAUUGUGACUGCCUACAUUAUUUGAAGCGUGAAGAUUUUAUUAUUUCUAGCGUGACGGACACAAACGUUUAAGUGAGAGAGAUUUUCCUACAUUAUUUGAAGCGUGAAGAUUUUAUUAUUUGAAGCGUGAAGACUGAAGUUUUUAUUAUUUGAAGCGUGAAGUUUUUAUUAUUUCAAGUGUGACGGAAAUCAAGCGUCGAUGCGAGAGAGAUCGUCACCUGAAAAAGCCAUGUGCUGUGCGAUUAUAUAUAUAAACAAGAAGCCGACGACAGACAAAGCGCUGUAAGUAGCCUAUUACGUAUCAUUUAUGUACAAUCCUAGGAUGGAGAACAACAUGAUUUGUACUCCGGCAAUGACAUGGCACUCAGAAGAAAGCUGGCUGAAACGAACUUGGAGAAGAACAAUGGAACAAGAAAGAUUCCAGCUGGGUUGGAUUAGCUGGGCAUCAGCAGGGGCAUUAGCCAAAGACAGAGGCAGGUGAAGGCUGUGGUAAUGAGGCCUUGUGUACCUGUAGGCAUGAAGGAUCAUGAGAUGUAUGGAUGUUGUCCUAAGUAAGAACUGUCCUGGCAAUGUUGGAAUGAAAUUUACAGGAGCUACAAAGAGUUUUGGUUUUUAGAAGACUUAGUAUAAAUGUUCUAAAGAAAGAAAAAGUGUGGCAAAGAAAGGAAAGGAUUAUUCACUCAAAGAAAUAUGGAUGACAAGUACCUCCAGUAAAUGAUGUCAUAUCCAGCUUUGAAAAUGUUUUGUUUGAAAGAAAAGGACCUGAAGAAGGAGAAAGAUCUAUUUUAUAGAUUUAGAUGGAUUGAUAAACUGUCAAAGCUAUUGCUAUCACUAAAUUUUGUACAAUACUUGUAAUUCUUUAUCACUGAGUCUUUGAGCCUUCUGACAUGAUAGUGUAUCUAAUCUGAGAAAGCAGUGUCCAUGAUAUCAAUCUUGAAACAUUUCAAAAUAACCUAAUAUCAAAACAUAAUAUGUACAGAUUUAAUAGCAGAUGAAAACUCUACACAAACUGGAUACUGAUGUUACUGAAAUUUAGAGAUGUCAUACUUGGUGUUGAUUGAUUUAAGAAACAAAAUUAAUGUCUGAAAUGAUGUAAUAAACUAAUUACUCCAGUCUUGUUUUUGCUUUAUUUUUAGG
Long non-coding RNA from Saccostrea cuccullata (small rock oyster), 1312 nucleotides. RefSeq lists it as uncharacterized. The transcript has 5 exons. Lineage: Eukaryota; Metazoa; Mollusca; Bivalvia; Ostreida; Ostreidae. The record is from RefSeq and is a predicted model, not a curated record.